GAUGAACGCUGGCGGCGUGCCUAAUACAUGCAAGUCGGGCGAACAGAUAAGGAGCUUGCUCCUUUGACGUUAGCGGCGGACGGGUGAGUAACACGUGGGUAACCUACCUAUAAGACUGGGAUAACUUCGGGAAACCGGAGCUAAUACCGGAUAACAUUUGGAACCGCAUGGUUCUAAAGUGAAAGAUGGUUUUGCUAUCACUUAUAGAUGGACCCGCGCCGUAUUAGCUAGUUGGUAAGGUAACGGCUUACCAAGGCGACGAUACGUAGCCGACCUGAGAGGGUGAUCGGCCACACUGGAACUGAGACACGGUCCAGACUCCUACGGGAGGCAGCAGUAGGGAAUCUUCCGCAAUGGGCGAAAGCCUGACGGAGCAACGCCGCGUGAGUGAUGAAGGGUUUCGGCUCGUAAAACUCUGUUAUUAGGGAAGAACAAACGUGUAAGUAACUGUGCACGUCUUGACGGUACCUAAUCAGAAAGCCACGGCUAACUACGUG
RNAcentral lists this ribosomal RNA (497 nucleotides) under uncultured bacterium. RNAcentral describes it as "partial 16S ribosomal RNA". It matches the Rfam family "Bacterial small subunit ribosomal RNA", at positions 28 to 507 of the family's 1533-position model. The record is from RNAcentral.